Molecule: ribosomal RNA, 841 nt
Filed under: uncultured bacterium
Lineage: Bacteria
Description: bacterial SSU rRNA
Rfam family: Bacterial small subunit ribosomal RNA
Source: RNAcentral
GACGAACGCUGGCGGCGUGCCUAAUACAUGCAAGUCGAGCGAAGUUUUUCUGGUGCUUGCACUAGAAAAACUUAGCGGCGAACGGGUGAGUAACACGUAAAGAACCUGCCUCAUAGACUGGGACAACUAUUGGAAACGAUAGCUAAUACCGGAUAACAGCAUUAACUGCAUGGUUGAUGUUUAAAAGUUGGUUUUGCUAACACUAUGAGAUGGCUUUGCGGUGCAUUAGCUAGUUGGUGGGGUAAAGGCCUACCAAGGCGACGAUGCAUAGCCGACCUGAGAGGGUGAUCGGCCACACUGGGACUGAGACACGGCCCAGACUCCUACGGGAGGCAGCAGUAGGGAAUCUUCCGCAAUGGGCGAAAGCCUGACGGAGCAACGCCGCGUGAGUGAAGAAGGAUUUCGGUUCGUAAAGCUCUGUUGUUAGGGAAGAAUGAUUGUGUAGUAACUAUACACAGUAGAGACGGUACCUAACCAGAAAGCCACGGCUAACUACGUGCCAGCAGCCGCGGUAAUACGUAGGUGGCAAGCGUUGUCCGGAAUUAUUGGGCGUAAAGCGCGCGCAGGUGGUUUAAUAAGUCUGAUGUGAAAGCCCACGGCUCAACCGUGGAGGGUCAUUGGAAACUGUUAAACUUGAGUGCAGGAGAGAAAAAGGGAAUUCCCUAGUGUAGCGGUGAAAAUGCGUAGAGAUUAUGGAGGAACACCCGUGGCGAAAGGCGGCUUUUUUGCCUGUACCGGAACUGAGGCGGGAAGCGUUGGGGACAUACAGGAUUAAAUACCCUAUAGUUCGAGGCAAAUUCCCCAUCGCAUAUUAGCUUUUCGAUACGUGCGCCCGGGGGGG